Molecule: non-coding RNA, 45 nt
Filed under: Schistosoma margrebowiei
Lineage: Eukaryota; Metazoa; Platyhelminthes; Trematoda; Strigeidida; Schistosomatidae
Source: RNAcentral
AUCCUGCUGACGAGUUCCAAAUAGGACGAGAGGUAUGUCCUUGAU